RNAcentral lists this ribosomal RNA (588 nucleotides) under uncultured bacterium. Its description in RNAcentral is "bacterial SSU rRNA". It matches the Rfam family "Bacterial small subunit ribosomal RNA", at positions 8 to 631 of the family's 1533-position model. The record is from RNAcentral.
AGAGUUUGAUCCUGGCUCAGAAUCAACGCUGGCGGCGCGCUUAACACAUGCAAGUCGCACGAGAAAGGGGGCAACCCUGAGUAAAGUGGCGCACGGGUGAGUAACACGUGGGUAUCUACCUUUUUGUGGGGACUAACUUGGGGAAACCCGAGCUAAUACCGCAUAAGCUCGAGAGAGGAAAGCCGAAAGGCGCAGAAAGAGGAGCCCGCGGCUGAUUAGCUAGUUGGUGAGGUAAUGGCUCACCAAGGCAAAGAUCGGUAGCCGGCCUGAGAGGGCACACGGCCACACUGGCACUGAAACACGGGCCAGACUCCUACGGGAGGCAGCAGUGGGGAAUCUUGCACAAUGGAGGAAACUCUGAUGCAGCGACGCCGCGUGAACGAUGAAGCCCUUCGGGGUGUAAAGUUCUUUCGUCAGGAACGAUAAUGACGGUACCUGGAGAAGAAGCUGCGGCUAACUACGUGCCAGCAGCCGCGAUAAUACGUAGGCAGCAAGCGUUGUUCGGAAUUAUUGGGCGUAAAGAGUAUGUAGGUGGUGUCGUAAGUUUGGUGUGAAAUCUCCCGGCUUAACCGGGAGGGUGCGCCGAAG